This 743-nucleotide long non-coding RNA is filed under the name Nicotiana benthamiana. RNAcentral's name for it is "long non-coding RNA (NBEN_LNC016606)". Lineage: Eukaryota; Viridiplantae; Streptophyta; Magnoliopsida; Solanales; Solanaceae. The record is from RNAcentral.
UUAACAAAAACAGAAAAUGAAUAGAACAGUAAAAUGAGCAACAUUGCAUACUCACUGUGCAGAGAAGUUUGGUUUCCAGCUCCCAACAUUUGAGAUAGUUGCUGUACAGAUGUUGAAGACCUUUUAAUUUUUGGCUACUGGGUUUACUUUAAAAUGUAAAAAAGAUUCUCCUUGUCUGAUAUUCCACUUAAAAAGAAAUAGUCGUACCAAGUUGACACAGAAGAAGGACAGAAUCGUGUUUCCUACUUUACAUUUCUUUCCUUUUCUGUAGUUGUCAUGACCAGCUGGCUAUCAUCAUCUUGUGCUUAACACGUGGCUAAAAGUCCAAAGAUUUAUGCAAAAUUAAUGGAAUUGUGAUUAACAAGGAAAAGAAAUGAGAAAAAAUUGGAGAUCUAAGAGAUCGUUGAACAGAUUUUGGAAGACCCUUUAAUUUUUGGCUACUGAAUUUACUUUAAAAUAGGAUGGAUGAGGAUUGGCUAGAACAAGUAAAAAAGAUUCUCUCUGUCUGAUAUUCCACUAUAAAAAAUAGUCCGUACCAAGUUGACACAAAGAAGGAUUUAAUUCAGAACAUGACACAAUCGUGUUUCAUACUUUACAUUUCUUUCCUUUUUCGUAGUUGUCAUGAACAGCUGGAUAGCAUCAUUUUGUGCUUAACAAGUGGCUAAAAGUCCAAGAUUUCCUGCAAAUUUAAAGCCAAAUUUAAUAGCAUGGUUAUUAACAGGGGAAAGAAAAUGAGGAAAAAG